RNA transcript from Xenopus tropicalis (tropical clawed frog), 1642 nucleotides. It is a transcript of the gene named lysine-specific demethylase 5A, with no coding region annotated. Lineage: Eukaryota; Metazoa; Chordata; Amphibia; Anura; Pipidae. The transcript is spliced from 5 exons. The record is from RefSeq and is a predicted model, not a curated record.
UGUACGUACCUGUACCUGUACCUGUACCCCACCUUACGAGCUCUGGUACAAGCCACUACGCGGGUCCCCUACCACCAGUCACCUCACCCCUAACUCUACCAUCCAAACAACCCGCCUCCGCAAGCUUAACCAAUCACGCACCCAGUUCAAUCCAGAAUCAUUGAAGCAUCCAAUCCGCUAGGGCGAUACUUGAGUCGGCCCGCCCGCCAGGUGUCUUCUGGGAAUUGUAGUUUAUUCUAUCGCCAUCCACAUGUGUUUAAACUACAAUUCCCUCAGGUUUAGAUUCCAAAACGAAUACCCGAUAUGCAAAGGAGAAUUAUGACAACAUGUCUUUAUCUUCAUAACAGUAUAUGUAUUAUAAUUUCAUUAAUACAUUAUAAUUAUCAUUGUUAAUGAAAGAUUUUGAUUUAACUAUUCCUCUACAUAGGAAAUAGGCGUGUGAACAUUUGUGACACUUAAUUCCAUUUUUAUCCCCCCCCCCCCCCAUUCGCAGCCAUUCUAUAGAUUACACUGUUCUGGAAUUGUAAAAACUUUUAACACACGGAUGAAACAAUCGUUUGCAAAACCAGGUGAAGAUCUCCUUUAUCUAAAGGAAGGUUCAUGUAGCGCCAUCUAUCGGCUGUUUUUCACAUUACGGGCUCUUUUAUUAACCAAAUAGCUUUAACUAGCACGGAGGGAUACCUGGAGAUUUUACAACCAGCCUCUUUAAUCCUUUAGGGCCCCAAUUUCACAUUACAAAGUUGCAUCAGGACUUUAUGGACCUAGGAAUGAUACGGACUGGAGCCUGGAAUUUACUCAUCAGGCACUGGUUACUGAGGGAACAGGAGAGACGGGGUGUAAAUCCGUGGCUGUAGUGAAGGAUCACAGAGAAAACUCGAUGAGGGACAUUACUUCAUGACAGAGAAAGGAGCCUCUGGCUUUAUCCAAGCAAGAUCUGGGAUGCUUAUCCGCACUAUACCGCUUGUCUAGUUCUAUACCCACCUGAGGGUUAACACUUGUUUGGAAUGGCCGCCUACAUCGAAUUUGUGCCCCCUCCGGAAUGCCCGGUGUUCGAGCCCAGCUGGGAGGAAUUCUCUGAUCCCCUGAGUUUCAUCGGACGCAUCCGACCGAUUGCUGAAAAGACAGGGAUAUGCAAAUCCAACCUCCCAAGGACUGGCAGCCGCCCUUUGCCUGCGAUGUCAAAAGCUUCUGCUUCACCCCUCGGGUACUGCGCCUCAACGAACUAGAGGCAAUGACCCGUGUCAAACUCGAUUUCUUGGAUCAGCUGGGAAAAUUUUGGGAGCUGCAAGGUUCCGCGCUCAGAAUUCCAGUGGUGGAUGGCAAGCUGUUGGGUGGUUUCCAGUGAGGGGGGAUUUGAGGUUGUCACUAAAGAGAAGAAAUGGUCUCAGGUGGGCAAUCGGAUGGGAUACCAGCCAGGCAAAGGCACAGGCUCUCUUCUGAAGUUGCACUAUGACCGAAUCCUCUACCCCUACGAGCUGUUCCAGUCUGGCGUCAGCCUGAUGGAAAGAAAUGCACCUAGAAUAUUCUAGAGAGAAACCUUCUGUUUCAGUUUUUAGUAAAGGUACCGGUAUAGGACCUGUUAUCCAGAAUGCUCGGGACCUGGGGCUUUCCGGAUAAGGGGUCUUUCCGUAAUUUGGCUCAU